This is an RNA transcript of Misgurnus anguillicaudatus (oriental weatherfish), 1940 nucleotides long. It is a transcript of the gene named forkhead box J1a, with no coding region annotated. The record is from RefSeq and is a predicted model, not a curated record. Lineage: Eukaryota; Metazoa; Chordata; Actinopteri; Cypriniformes; Cobitidae.
AAUGGAAGAACGAGAAGCUGUUUACAAGGGGGUGUAGCGUUGCUGGGGUGACGGGACAAACGUCCUGCAGCAGCAGGUAUUAAACUGAACCCGGAGCUCCUGACGCCCUGGAGACCUUGAACUGAGGCACGCGCACACGCACGCACAUUCUCCUGCAGUUACCGGAUAAAGUUUCUCUUCAAUAAGAGCUUCUGUGUUAUUGGAUGUUAUUUCCUUAUCAAUCAAGCAGCCUAUCAAUAAAGACAGGAUUUAGGACCAUGCUGUCCAUGAGCUGCUCGGACCCCUGGCCGGAGGGCUCGGUGGGUUUGGAGGAGGAGGUCGUGACCGCCGCCACUCGUGCGGAGCUGCUGGACCAGAGCUACGCCGAGUCCAACAUCAGCACGUGCAGCUCCGAUAAUCUAGACGACAGUCUGACGAGCCUGCAGUGGCUUCAGGAGUUUUCAAUCCUCAAUGCCAGCGGUGGGCAACACCAACCCCAUCACCAAAGUCACUUCUUCGGGAGUCAGGUGGGCUCGGAUGCACCUGCGUCUCCUUUAGCCGGAGAUCCGGCGUCUAUCGGUAUGCCGCUGACCCCAGGGAAACCCACGGCCGCGUCUUUCUACAGGGUCCCGUCCAUGGCGGCUCUGCCCAGCCUGGUUGCGCACGGUCACUGUCCGGAUGAAGUCGAUUACAAGACCAAUCCUCACAUUAAACCACCGUACUCAUACGCCACUCUCAUCUGUAUGGCGAUGCAGGCCAGCAAGAAAACCAAAAUCACCCUCUCGUGCAUCUAUAAAUGGAUCACGGACAACUUCUGUUACUUUCGCCACGCGGACCCCACUUGGCAGAACUCCAUCCGCCACAAUUUGUCGUUGAACAAAUGCUUUAUAAAAGUCCCAAGGCAAAAGGACGAACCGGGAAAGGGCGGCUUUUGGAAAAUCGACCCCCAAUACGCGGAGCGUCUCCUCAGCGGUGCCUACAAGAAGCGCCGAAUGCCCCCUGUGCAAAUAAACCCGGCUUUUCAGAACCGACUCAGGAUGAACUCCCAAGCAGGACAACCAGUAUUCGGCACAGGAAUGGCCGGAAGUCUUUGCGUGGGUCCCGAGUCCCAACAGCUCCUGAAGGAGUUUGAGGAAGCCACGGGAGGCGAUCAGAACUGGGAUCCUCGUUUGGCCGAGGCCACUAUGCUUGGCUGUUGGGUCUCAGGGAAGGGCAACAAGAGGAAGCAGCCAUACGCGCACAGGACGGGGAGCAAAGCUCUGCGACGUUCAAGCUCUCCGCUGCUGUCCAUGGACGAGCAGGAGGAUUUAAGCUCUCUUAAAGGCAACUUUGACUGGGACGCCCUGCUGGACUCAGCUCUGAAUGGAGAGUUGAGCUUGAACGAAGGGAGUCUGUUGGGCCCCUUAACACGUGAUGAUGACCUGAUGGUCAGGGGCACUCAUAUCAGCCCACUCGAGGCGCCCGGUGGUGUGGUUGAGAGCCACGUCUUGAUGGAAACCCAAAGGAGCAGCGAAGUAGACUUUGACGAAGAAACCUUCAUGGCCACGGCGUUUCUGCAAAGUCCCUGGUCGGAGGAGAGCGCACGUCCGGAUUUCCUUUGCAGCUCGACGGUUAAUAUUGAUCAGCUGUUUGACUUGGGAGAGUCUCUCGCAGGUAGUGUACACGUGAUUAUAAUGUGAUGGCUUGGUCAGAUGAGAGGCUCUGAAACCGGAUCCAGGUAUUAUCCUCCAGUCCUUCUGAUGACUACAGGUAAGCUAUCGUGCUGACAAAAGGCCCUAAUGCUGGAUCCGAACUGGGACCCCCUCACAGAUCAGCUCCGCCAGGGCUUUUUCUGCUAACACUAAACACGCUCUCAGUUGUCCACCCCCAGCAACGGGACCCACCGUUUGUGGACGCGUCUCCCAUUUAAUGACUUGAUUGGAACAGAUGGACGAUGAAGAGAAACAGAGACUUCUAUAAUC